Camelina sativa (false flax) is the source of this 348-nucleotide non-coding RNA. Lineage: Eukaryota; Viridiplantae; Streptophyta; Magnoliopsida; Brassicales; Brassicaceae. The record is from RefSeq and is a predicted model, not a curated record.
GCAAAAAAAAAUAUCUGUCACCGAAUUGAAAAGGGUUUUAGGCAGAGAACAUGGCUACAACGUCUCUAAGCAAGAGGAAGUCUAUCAAAACCGAAGGCAGUUUGGUGAAAGAUAGGUUAAGUGAUUUGCCAUGCGAUGUGUUAUGUCGGAUCCUCUCUCAACUCUCUACCAAGGAAUCGGUUAGCACCAGUAUCUUGUUAUGCUAAUUACAUCAUAUUGUUGUCUCACAUAAAUUCAGUUUACCUUACCAACAGUUAUUGUAAUACUUUUUCAGAUAUUUUUGUUGACAAUGGUUUUAUGUUUCCUAGUUCUUAUAAUGGAUGUUAUUCGACUGUGAGGAAUUUUAUA